Molecule: ribosomal RNA, 373 nt
Filed under: uncultured organism
Description: partial 16S ribosomal RNA
Rfam family: Bacterial small subunit ribosomal RNA
Source: RNAcentral
GUAGGUGGCAAGCGUUGUCCGGAAUUAUUGGGCGUAAAGCGCGCGCAGGCGGGUCCUUUAAGUCUGAUGUGAAAGCCCACGGGCUCAACCGUGGAGGGUCAUUGGAAACUGGGGGACUUGAGUACAGAAGAGGAAAGCGGAAUUCCAAGUGUAGCGGUGAAAUGCGUAGAGAUUUGGAGGAACACCAGUGGCGAAGGCGGCUUUCUGGUCUGUAACUGACGCUGAGGCGCGAAAGCGUGGGAGCAAACAGGAUUAGAUACCCUGGUAGUCCACGCCGUAAACGAUGAGUGCUAAGUGUUAGGGGGUUUCCGCCCCUUAGUGCUGCAGCUAACGCAUUAAGCACUCCGCCUGGGGAGUACGGCCGCAAAGGCUG